RNAcentral lists this non-coding RNA (141 nucleotides) under human gut metagenome. RNAcentral's name for it is "glmS glucosamine-6-phosphate activated ribozyme". It matches the Rfam family "glmS glucosamine-6-phosphate activated ribozyme aptamer", at positions 11 to 159 of the family's 167-position model. Rfam says of the family: This entry contains a glucosamine-6-phosphate activated ribozyme that is found in the mRNA for GlmS. The record is from RNAcentral.
UUUAUUAAGCGCCAGGACAAUUUUUUAUUGUUGACGAGGUUAGAACUUAUCGAAUUUUUCGGCGGAUGGUUCUAUGGUUUGGCUAAGAUCAUUAAGUAUUAACAAAAACUAGUAGCAAUACUAAAACAAAUUUAAUACUAU